RNAcentral lists this long non-coding RNA (870 nucleotides) under Equus caballus (horse). RNAcentral describes it as "lncRNA (ENSECAG00000048369.1)". Lineage: Eukaryota; Metazoa; Chordata; Mammalia; Perissodactyla; Equidae. The record is from RNAcentral.
CAUGGUCCUGCGGGGUGGACUGACGCCUCUGCAGACGACACCGGGAGGGCUCGCCCUGGAAGGAGCAGGGCUCAGAAAGGCACAGAAACCAAGCCAAGCUCUGCUCUCAGUCUCCAGCCAUGUCUUCUGCGUGGGAAAAAAAAAGCGAUGCCAUUAUGGAAUCAUUUUUCCUCCCGCCUCGGCCGAUAGAUAAAUAAGGGUUUCCAGGAAAGAAGAUGCGCCCAAAGCGUCCCCCAUUUCUCGCGAGGAAAACCACAGGUGUUAAAAAGCAAAGGAGUUCUUCCAGGACGGCCCGCUGUUUCUUCUGUCUCCCAGAGGAGGCGGUGGGCAUCCCCUUGGUCUGAGGGCAGCUCUGCUCUGCCUGCCUCACUUCUCCUUCCUCCCUACUCCCCGGCUUGCCAGAAAGCCCUGUCAUUCCUGCCAGGUCUUUGAGUCAACCCAUCAACCCUUGAGGUGCAGAGAACUGACUCCACUUCCUCACCAUGGCGAUGCUCUGGCUCCAGCAUAUCUUGAGGGCGUUUGGUCAACCCAGUGUGGCCACCCCUACCUCUUGGAUGGCCUUUCGUCUUCAUUUGAUUCCUACAUACCUCAAGAGCAGUGUGCUGGACAAACGACGACCCCCAAAGAUGUCCACAUCCCAGUCCUGGAAACUGUGACUACGUAGAUUACACGGCAAAGGAGAGAGAAGGUUACAGGUGGAAUUAAGGCUGAUAAUCUGUUGACUUUAAAAUAGGAAGAUAAAUGGUGUGCAAAUAUUUUUUCCCAGUUGGUGGGUUGUCUUUUCGUUUUUUUCGUGGUUUCCUUUGCUUUGCAGAAGCUUUUUAGUCUGAUGCAGUUCCAUUUGUUAACUUUUUCUUUUUUUCCCUUGCC